AUUCAGCUGACGAGUUCCAAAUAGGAGGAAACGGCAUCCUGGAU
RNAcentral lists this non-coding RNA (44 nucleotides) under Schistosoma mansoni. The record is from RNAcentral. Lineage: Eukaryota; Metazoa; Platyhelminthes; Trematoda; Strigeidida; Schistosomatidae.